Molecule: ribosomal RNA, 1116 nt
Filed under: Umbelopsis autotrophica
Lineage: Eukaryota; Fungi; Mucoromycota; Umbelopsidomycetes; Umbelopsidales; Umbelopsidaceae
Description: SSU rRNA
Rfam family: Eukaryotic small subunit ribosomal RNA
Source: RNAcentral
CAAAGAUUAAGCCAUGCAUGUCUAAGUAUAAACAAAUUUAUACAGUGAAACUGCGAAUGGCUCAUUAAAUCAGUUAUAAUUUAUUUGAUAUUCACUUACUACUUGGAUAACCGUGGUAAUUCUAGAGCUAAUACAUGCGUACAUAACCUCGACUUCUGGAAGGGGUGCACUUAUUAGAUAAAAAGCCAACGCGGGCAACCGCUUGUAUGGUGAUUCAUAAUAAUUAAUCGAAUCGCAUGGCCUUGUGCCGGCGAUGAUGCAUUCAAAUUUCUGCCCUAUCAAGUUUCGAUGGUAGGUUAGUGGCCUACCAUGCUUUUAACGGGUAACGGGGAAUUAGGGUUCGAUUCCGGAGAGGGAGCCUGAGAAACGGCUACCACAUCCAAGGAAGGCAGCAGGCGCGCAAAUUACCCAAUCCCGACACGGGGAGGUAGUGACAAUAAAUAACAAUACAGGGCCUUUACGGGUCUUGUAAUUGGAAUGAGUACAAUUUAAAUCCCUUAACGAGGAACAAUUGGAGGGCAAGUCUGGUGCCAGCAGCCGCGGUAAUUCCAGCUCCAAUAGCGUAUAUUAAAGUUGUUGCAGUUAAAAAGCUCGUAGUUGAAUUUUGGCCUUGGCUUAUGAGGUUCGGCCUUCACUGGUCGGUACCCCAAUGAGCCGGGCUCCACCUUCUGGGUUAGCCAGUCGUUACUUCGGUGCGGCUGGUGAACCAGAACUUUUACUUUGAAAAAAUUGGAGUGUUUAAAGCAGGCUUUCAAGCUUGAACAUAUUAGCAUGGAAUAAUGAAAUAGGACUUUGGCCUUAUUUCGUUGGUUUCUAAAGCCAAAGUAAUGAUGAAUAGGGAUAGUUGGGGACAUUAGUAUUCAAUUGUCAGAGGUGAAAUUCUUGGAUUUAUUGAAGACUAACUUCUGCGAAAGCAUUUGUCAAGGAUGUUUUCAUUAAUCAAGAACGAAAGUUAGGGGAUCGAAGACGAUCAGAUACCGUCGUAGUCUUAACCAUAAACUAUGCCGACUAAGGAUCGGAUGGUGUUAUAUUUUAUAUUGACCCAUUCGGCAUUUCAGCGAAAGCCAAGUUUUUGGGUUCCGGGGGGAGUAUGGUCGCAAGGCUGAAACUUAAAGG